CUGCGUACGUGGCCGCGUGCCUCAUACACAGCAGCGUGCCUCAUACUCGGCGGCAUGCGUAGGCUGGCAUCGGCUUGGGCCAGAUGGGAUCCGGGUGCUGAGGGGAAGCAGACACAAGCGCUCUAAUCCAGAAGCCGUCUCCAAUAGAUAACCUCUUCCAAAGGAAAAGCUUGUUUUCCCCUACAGAGUCUUACUGGAUACACAAACUACACUUAACGGUGGUUGUGCCCAGCAGUGCAGCCACCAUGAACUCAACAAAACUCCUCCUCCGCGCUAUGCCACGGUGUCCUGCCUCACCAUAGACCCCCAAGAAUAGAGCCAAGAGAAAUUAAUCCAUGGGCCAAAUUUGCCAUCUUUUUCCCUGAAUUUGAUUAUGGUAUCCUGUCAUGGACAGAAGGCUGAUUAAGCUGGGUUGCGAUCUCGCUCUUGCAGAGAACCCAGGUUCAGUUUCCAUGGACGCCUGUAACUUCAGUUCCUGGGGAUCUGAUGCCCCCUUCUGGUCUUCUUUGGUAUUGCAUGCACAUGGUGCACAUACAUACGAGGAGACAAGUAUUCAUACAAAUAAAUACUAAAAUAAAAUAAGAAGUUAUAACGCAGAGGCUCUUCUUUGGUUUGCUCUAGGGUAUCACCUUUUCUCUAGAACAGUGAUUCUCAACCCCCCUAAUGCUGCAAUACAGCUCCUCAUGUUGUGGUGACUCCCAAUAACAUUAUUUUGUCACUGCUUCAUAACUGUAAUUUUGCUACUGUUAUGAAUCGUAAUGUAACAUCCAACAUACACAGAAUAUAUAAUAUGUAACCCUUGUGGGCUCAUGACCCACAGGUUGAGAACCACUGCUCUAGAGGGAAUCCCAGGAAUUCCUAGGAAUAUUACAGGGACAUCUGUGCACACACUGGCGCCCACACGCAGAAGUAUACACUUCAUCCAAAGAGCAGCACAUUACCCUGCCGUACACGCCUUGACCUCCCACUAUCCCACAUACUCUCAUGUCUGCGUGCAGCACAGACUUUCUUCUUAACACAGUAUUAACCUCACGUGACCCAUUUAUCAUUCGUCGUCCAGGCUCUCAUUUAGUGACGGGUACUUGGGUUGCUUCUCGGUUUCCUUCUGACUCAAACAAUAUGGCAAUUAACAUUAUAACACCACUACAGUUUGUGUCUAGAAGCACAUCUACAGGGUUGAACCCUACCAAAGAGAUGACUGCCAAGAGGCUGUCUCUCUCUCUCUCUCUCUCUCUCUCUCUCUCUCUCUCUCUUUCUUUCUUUCAAAGAUUUAUUUAUUUUUUUGUGAGUACACUGUCACUGUCUUCAGACACACCAGAAGAGGGCAUCAGCUCCUAUUCCAGAUGGUUGUGAGCCACCAUGUGGUUGCUGAGAAUUGAACUUAGGACCUCUGGAAGGGCAGUCGGUGCUCUUGACCACUAAGUCAACUCUCCAGCCCUUGUGUAUCUUUUUCUUUGUGUACAUUGAGCUGAAUUGCCCAAUUCAUAUUCUCAUCAGAAAAUGAAUGCUCCCACCAGCAAAGAAUCUGUCCCCAGCAUUCUAGUUUGCUUCCUGUAACUGUGAUAGACACCAAGACUGAAAGGAACUUGGGGAGGAUGGGUUUAUUUGCCUUACAGGUUACAGUCCAUCAGUGAAGGAAUCCAGGACAGGAACUGGAGCAGAGAUCAUGAAAGAAAUGCUACUUAUUGCCUUGACUCCAGCCUCUUGUCUCUAGUUACCUGCCUAGGAAUGGCACUGCCCAUAGUGGGCCCUCCUGUAUCAAUUAACAAUAAAGAAAAUGCCCUAAAGAGGCAAUUCUUUAACUGGGGUUCCUUCUUCCCAGGGGUGACAAAUUGACCACCAAGAUUAACCAUCACCCCCAGCUUCUGGAUACACAGAGCAUGAUAAUUUAUCUCUUCUACCAUCUGGUAGGAAAGAGCUUGGAGACCUUGACUCACUCAGAAGUUAGAUGAGUAUUGCCCGCAUUCAAUCCCGGAAGGCCUCCCGCCUUGUGUCCUUGGCACAGCUGAGACCAGCACAGUGUUUUCCUGUUUAUCCCUCAGCUCUCCUGGAAGCGCAGCUGUGAGCAUGAUUUCUCUGGUUCCCUUUAUAACAGCGUCCUCCAAAACUGGAUGAAAUAACUCACAGCUGGGAUGGUAAGUCUGGGCCAUUCAAGGACAGGACUGCAGUGGUGAGCUGCUGCAGGGUCCCGCUGCACCCCGAGAAGUAGGGUGAAGGCAUGACUGCAUUUUCAGGGCACAUUACAGUCGCGCCUUCUGAUCGUUCUGCAUCUGACACUCAUCAAGUCUCUCCCAGUAAUCCGAGUAACAACCUCAUGUAAGGGGAAGUCAUCCAGUGAUUUAAAAAAAAAAACCCUACUAGGGUGCUUUGAUGUUAGUUUCUUCUCCCUGACUUGACUUGUCACAUUACCUUUUCCCUUCUAGCAGAUUUAUUUCCCAAGUACCAACUCAAUCAGCCAGUACAAACAGUUCCCAACCUACAAUGGUUCAACUUCAUGAGUUGGCAACUUCAUCAGGAUACAAGGAAAUAUUCUUCAGUAGAAACCAGAGCGGCGAGUAGGCAACUGUGUUGCUAAGCAAAGUGACAAGCCCUGCCUGUUGGGAUGCUGACCCACUAGACAAGUCAACGUUAGGAGGAUCCAAGCUAAGUCAGGAGGAAGGCUUACAGGAUACUCUCUCUCCCGGGAUUCGUUUACUUGAUAGAAGACACAGAUAUCGACCAAGUAGAUAGAGCUUGGUUAGAGGGUGGUGGAGCUGGCGAGGCGGUAAAGCAGCAGCGGAUCGCGUGAGUUGAAGGGUCUGCACUCUAGGAUUAGCCGUGGUCUUCCUCUUAGUGCCUCUACUGACAGCAAGAGGGCUGUACUGCCCAUUCUUUCUAAUGGUCAGAAACUAUAAAGUCUCUCAGUCAUCCCUGCAAACAGCUCAACUCCCCGACAUUGUCCCAAGUAACCAAUACAUUUAAUUUGCAAAGAACCUUAGUGCCUGUGACAUCAUUGUCAGGUGGACUGCUCAGUCUGCAGACGGACGAGUGCCGUAGCUGGGAUGUGAACUGUCCCCCCAGGUUCUUGCUUUUGAACCUGCAGCCCCAGCUGGUGGUUCUGCUUUAGAACGAUGUGGAAACCUUAGGAGGCAGAGCCCCCUGGAGGAGGUGGGUCACUGAGGGUGGGCCUUGAGGUUUCAUACUCUGUGUCGCAAAGUCCUGUUCACCCAUUCCUUCCAGCACCGCCUACCACAGUGGUCCCAGAGACACAUACCUGUUGUCCAACCAGAAGGCUGGGGGCAGACAUGGUGACCAGACCAUGGUGUGGUCUCAGUGAUAGUACAAAAGUCACCAUGUCUUGCAAAGGGGUGGGGGUAUUUCUUAAGCAAACCAGUGUAUCGGUUUGGAACAGAAAGAUCUCCAAGGGUCCACUUAACUUAUUGAGAUCAUAACACUGAAUAAACCGGCGAAAGCUUCCUGAAACACUUUUAACUUGUGCAACCCUUCUCUAAGAGCCAAUGUUCUGAGAUUGCUGCCAGUUUUAACACUGGGUGAGCCUAAGCUUUCAGAAUUUACUGGUACUGAAGGAUUCUGCUACAAAUAACUCUUAAAGCCAUACUGUAUUAAAUGAAUUUCCCUUCUGAUGCUCUGGCCCGAAUGACCAAAGUGUCUCCUUUUAGACAGAGAGCUACAGUGUGGAGAAAUUUGCUGGAAAGCACUCACUAUUGGAUCUGAGAACUCGGCUCACAGCCAUUUCUAACAAAGGAAGUUUGCUGACUGCUUGGCACUCUCUUCUAUGGCAAGGGACACCUGGUGUUGAGAAAUGCUAGCUCAUGGCUCAGCCGACAGCGAGCCCUUGACGUAGUUAUAAUUUAUGUACCACCUGCCACCUUCAAGAUUUAGUGGCACAGAGAAGUGCUCACUUUUCUGCUGAGUCCUGGGAUGUUUGAGGGUCAUAGAAUGUUGUCCCCGGGCUGCAGAUCGAACGUAGGACCUUGGCAAUGCUGGCACAGUGUCCUGUUCCUGAGUCACCUACCCUGCCCUUAGAACCUGGAGACCCUGCUAAAAAAUAGGACGAUUCUCUUCAGAGAAAUGCAUGGCUCCAGCUCUCCAGGAAGGAGAGAUAUGGGGAAGGACUUUUAAAGAGGAAAACCACAUGAAGACCAUCAAUAUUUAUCUAUGGAAGCUGAUCAAAUGAUUAAGGCAACUCAAAACAAUCUUUAGGUGUCUUUAUAAAGUACCUCCAAAAAUCAUGAAAAAUGUACUCAGUCUUAUCAUAACAAGAGGAUAGUCAGGGUUGUACGUUGUUGGGUGAGGGUGCGGUUCACUGAGUCAGGGUUACUGGGAAUUUAUCUUCCCGGGACUGGAGUCAGAGGCAAAGAGCUGGUGUGUACCAAGAUGGAUGCCUAGCAUAAAAUGGAGCUUUAGAUAUAACAAAAGAGGGGAGGAAGGAAGGAAGGAAGGAAGGAAGGAAGGAAAGAAGGAAAGAAGGAAAGAAGGAAAGAAGGAAAGGAGAAGGAAGGAAGGAAGCAAGAAAGAGAAAAAGAAGACAACAGCAUCCAAACAAGCAAAUACAGGACACCCAAAGCCACUUCAUGUCUCUCCCUCCCGAUCAGACAUCGAUUGUUAAGACUAUGACGGCCCCUUACCACAGACAGCUGUGGACAGACCACGGACAACCAGACAGGCCACGGACAACUGUGGGCAGACCAUGGACAAUUGGACAGAUCACGGACAACUGUGGACAGAUCACGGACAACUGUGGACAGAUCAUGGACAACUGGACAGACCAUGGACAACUGUGGACAGGUCAUGGACAACUGGACAGAUCAUGGACAACUGGACAGAUCGUGGACAACUGGACAGACCAUGGACAACUGGACAGACCAUGGACAACUGGACAGACCAUGGACAACUGUGGACAGAUCAUGGACAACUGGACAGAUCAUGGACAACUGGACAGAUCAUGGACAACUGGAUAGAUCAUGGACAACUGGAUAGAUCAUGGACAACUGGACAGAUCAUGGACAACUGGACAGAUCAUGGACAACUGGAUAGAUCAUGGACAACUGGACAGAUCAUGGACAACUGGAUAGAUCAUGGACAACUGGACAGAUCAUGGACACCUGGACAGAUCAUGGACAACUGGGACAGACCACGAGCGACUGUGGACAGACCACAAACAACUGAGACAGAUCACAGACAACGGGGACAGACCACGGACAACUGAGACAGACCACAGACAACUAGGACAGACUGGCAGAACACAAGUUACUUGUCAUCAGAACACAUAUCUUGGCAGGUGCCUCUACAAAGCCACCUUCCCUGGGCUAUCUCUCCAAGAAGCACAUAAAUCCCUUUAAUAUUUAUAUAUUUAUUUUAAAGUUAUCUUCUUCACCUGCACAGCUAUUAAAAAGACACUUUCUAAGAACUACAAAA
This is a non-coding RNA of Rattus norvegicus (Norway rat), 5418 nucleotides long. NCBI's taxonomy places the organism in Eukaryota, Metazoa, Chordata, Mammalia, Rodentia, Muridae. The record is from RefSeq and is a predicted model, not a curated record.